AGUGAACGCUGGCGGCGUGCUUAACACAUGCAAGUCGAACGAGAACGGAAUAUAGCUUGCUAUAUUUGUCAGCUAAGUGGCGCACGGGUGAGUAAUGUAUAGAUAACCUGCCCUUAAGAAAGGAAUAGCAGUUGGAAACGACUGCUAAUGCCCUAUAUGCCUUUAAUACAUAAGUAUGCAAGGGAAACGCUUUAGUGCUUAAGGAUGGGUCUGUAUGGUAUCAGCUUGUUGGUGAGGUAAUGGCUCACCAAGGCUAUGACGCCUAACUGGUUUGAGAGGAUGAUCAGUCACACUGGAACUGCGACACGGUCCAGACUCCUACGGGAGGCAGCAGUGGGGAAUAUUGCACAAUGGACGAAAGUCUGAUGCAGCAACGCCGCGUGGAGGAUGACACAUUUCGGUGCGUAAACUCCUUUUAUAUAGGAAGAUAAUGACGGUACUAUAUGAAUAAGCACCGGCUGACUCCGUGCCAGCCGCCGCGGUAA
RNAcentral lists this ribosomal RNA (485 nucleotides) under uncultured bacterium. RNAcentral describes it as "partial 16S ribosomal RNA". It matches the Rfam family "Bacterial small subunit ribosomal RNA", at positions 29 to 523 of the family's 1533-position model. The record is from RNAcentral.